AUGCCUUACACAUGCAAGUCGAACGGCGAGCACGGGGGCGAACCCUGGUGGCGAGUGGCGAACGGGUGAGUAAAGCAUCGGAACGUGCCCUGGAGUGGGGGAUAACGUAGCGAAAGUUACGCUAAUACCGCAUAUUCUGUGAGCAGGAAAGCAGGGGAUCGCAAGACCUUGCGCUCUGGGAGCGGCCGAUGUCGGAUUAGCUAGUUGGUGAGGUAAAGGCUCACCAAGGCGACGAUCCGUAGCGGGUCUGAGAGGAUGAUCCGCCACACUGGGACUGAGACACGGCCCAGACUCCUACGGGAGGCAGCAGUGGGGAAUUUUGGACAAUGGGCGCAAGCCUGAUCCAGCCAUGCCGCGUGAGUGAAGAAGGCCUUCGGGUUGUAAAGCUCUUUCGGUGGGGAAGAAAUUGCUUCGGUUAAUACCUGGAGUAGAUGACGGUACCCGCAUAAGAAGCACCGGCUAACUACGUG
This 470-nucleotide ribosomal RNA is filed under the name uncultured bacterium. RNAcentral's name for it is "bacterial SSU rRNA". It matches the Rfam family "Bacterial small subunit ribosomal RNA", at positions 44 to 507 of the family's 1533-position model. The record is from RNAcentral.